GAAGAUUCUCAAGAGAAACUCCGACAAAAAAGUCGAAAACCAAUUCAUGGCGGAAAUCGGAACGAUCGGAAGAACUCGCCAUCGAAAUCUUCUCAGGCUGUACGGAUUCUGUUACGACGAAUUCAUGAGCGCGCUGGUUUUGGAGUAUAUGGAGAACGGAUCGCUCGACAGAUUCUUGUACGGAAAAAGCAAGAACGAACUCGAUUGGGAGAAAUUGCUGGAAAUCGCGAUCGGAACCGCUAGAGGAAUUGCUUAUAUGCACGAAGAAUGCCAGAGGAAAAUCAUCCAUUACGAUAUCAAACCUGCGAACAUUCUAUUAGAUGAAAAUUUCUCACCG
This 337-nucleotide unclassified non-coding RNA is filed under the name Hevea brasiliensis (rubber tree). Lineage: Eukaryota; Viridiplantae; Streptophyta; Magnoliopsida; Malpighiales; Euphorbiaceae. The record is from RNAcentral.